GACGAACGCUGGCGGCGUGCUUAACACAUGCAAGUCGAACGGAAAGGCCCUGCUUUUGUGGGGGGCUCGAGUGGGGAACGGGUGAGUAACACGUGAGUAACCUGCCCGUGACUUUGGGAUAACUUCAGGAAACUGGGGCGAAUACCGGAUAGGAGCUCCUGCUGCAUGGUGGGGGUUGGAAAGGUUCGGCGGUUGGGGAUGGACUCGCGCCUUAUCAGCUUGUGGGUGGGGUAGUGGCUUACCAAGGCUUUGACGGGUAGCCGGCCUGAGAGGGUGACCGGCCACAUUGGGACUGAGCUACGGCCCAGCCUCCUACGGGACGCAGCAGUGGGGAAUAUUGCACAAUGGGCGGAAGCCUGAUGCAGCAACGCCGCGUGCGGGAUGACGGCCUUCGGGUUGUAAACCGCUUUCGCCUGUGACGAAACGUGAGUGACGGUAAUGGGUAAAGAAGCACCGGCUAACUACGUG
RNAcentral lists this ribosomal RNA (468 nucleotides) under uncultured bacterium. Its description in RNAcentral is "partial 16S ribosomal RNA". It matches the Rfam family "Bacterial small subunit ribosomal RNA", at positions 28 to 507 of the family's 1533-position model. The record is from RNAcentral.